This 402-nucleotide ribosomal RNA is filed under the name bacterium. Its description in RNAcentral is "partial 16S ribosomal RNA". It matches the Rfam family "Bacterial small subunit ribosomal RNA", at positions 355 to 776 of the family's 1533-position model. The record is from RNAcentral.
UGGGGAAUUUUGCACAAUGGGGGAAACCCUGAUGCAGCGACGCCGCGUGAUUUAGAAGGCCUUCGGGUUGUAAAAAUCUUUUCUAUGGGAAGAAAAUGACAGUGCCAUAGGAAUAAGGACCGGCUAAUUACGUGCCAGCAGCCGCGGUAAUACGUAAGGUCCGAGCGUUGUCCGGAAUCAUUGGGCGUAAAGGGUACGUAGGCGGGUAAGCAAGUUAGAAGUGAAAUCCUAUAGCUCAACUAUAGUAAGCUUUUAAAACUGCUCAUCUUGAGGUAUGGAAGGGAAAGUGGAAUUCCUAGUGUAGCGGUGAAAUGCGCAGAUAUUAGGAGGAAUACCGGUGGCGAAGGCGACUUUCUGGCCAUAACCUGACGCUGAGGUACGAAAGCGUGGGUAGCAAACAGG